RNAcentral lists this ribosomal RNA (1116 nucleotides) under Triticum aestivum (bread wheat). Its description in RNAcentral is "partial small subunit ribosomal RNA". Lineage: Eukaryota; Viridiplantae; Streptophyta; Magnoliopsida; Poales; Poaceae. The record is from RNAcentral.
AUGGCGCGGCGAUCCGCCCCUCUCCUCCGGCGCGUCCUCUCCCCGGCCCCUCCACCCCCCCUCGCUGGCGCCGUGUCCCGCCGUACCGUCACCUACAUGCCGCGCCCCGGAGACGGCGCCCCGCGCACCGUCACGCUCAUCCCGGGCGACGGCAUCGGGCCCCUCGUGACCGGCGCCGUGCGCCAGGUGAUGGAGGCAAUGCACGCGCCGGUCUGCUUCGAGACGUACGAGGUCCACGGCGACAUGCCAUCGGUGCCUCCCGAGGUCAUCGAGUCCAUCCGCCGCAACAAGGUCUGCCUCAAGGGCGGUCUCGCUACACCCGUCGGCGGAGGUGUCUCCUCCCUCAAUCUGCAGCUGCGCAAGGAGCUCGACCUCUACGCUUCCCUCGUCAAUUGCUUCAAUCUCCCUGGCCUGCCCACCAGGCACGACAACGUUGACAUCGCCGUCAUCAGGGAGAACACGGAGGGCGAGUACUCGGGUCUCGAGCACGAGGUCGUUCCUGGCGUCGUCGAGAGCCUCAAGGUGAUGACGAAGUUCUGCUCUGAAAGGAUUGCCAAAUACGCCUUUGAGUAUGCUUACCUCAACAAUAGAAAGAAAGUGACGGCAGUGCAUAAAGCAAACAUCAUGAAGCUAGCUGAUGGUUUGUUCUUGGAGUCCUGCCGUGAGGUUGCGACGAAGUAUCCUGGAAUUCAAUAUAGUGAAAUCAUUGUGGACAACUGCUGUAUGCAGCUUGUUGCAAAACCUGAACAGUUUGAUGUUAUGGUCACCCCAAAUCUUUAUGGCAAUCUGGUGUCUAAUGUGGCUGCAGGUAUUGCUGGAGGCACGGGUGUCAUGCCUGGAGGCAAUGUUGGUCAGGACCAUGCCAUCUUUGAGCAGGGCGCUUCUGCAGGAAAUGUGGGAAAUGACAAGAUUGUGCAACAGAAGAAAGCUAACCCAGUUGCUCUGUUUCUCUCGUCCGCCAUGAUGCUGAGGCAUUUGCAGUUCCCGUCAUUUGCCGACCGGCUGGAAUCAGCAGUGAAGAGUGUCAUUGCAGAAGGCAAAUACAGGACCAGGGAUUUGGGCGGCACCAGCACCACCCAGGAAGUCACGGAUGCAGUAAUCGCCAAACUUGAUUAG